AGAUUUUGAAUUAGUUAAGAAAACUGUGUUGGACGUUUGGGAGCUAUUACACCAAAACUGAUUCAUGUAUCUUGGAUGGAACAUGUUGCAUUUUGUUACUUAACUUUCAUACCGUAUAUUUGACCUACUCUUGGAUGAAACAUGUUGCAUUUUGUUACUUUACUUUCACAACUUUCAUACAAUAUAUUUGACAUACUACUUUUAUUACAGGUGCACCUAUAGUAGGUAUGCCUUUUGAGAAGAUAGACUCAGAUGCAUAUAUGAUGAGAACCUUGAGGGAUAAGGGGAAGAAAAAGGAAUAGAAUGGUAAAUUUGAUGCAUAGUAUAAGGAGGGUCGUUUAAUGUAUAUAAUGCUAUCAUACAUUUAACAUCACAUAUUAAUUUAAUCUGUCGACUCUAUGUUCGAAGAGAUUGUUAUCCAAUGGCUUUAAUUUUGAAUUUGGAGUUAGACAAAACUUACUUAUUUUAGGG
RNAcentral lists this long non-coding RNA (471 nucleotides) under Trifolium pratense (red clover). Its description in RNAcentral is "long non-coding RNA (TPRA_LNC007452)". The record is from RNAcentral. Lineage: Eukaryota; Viridiplantae; Streptophyta; Magnoliopsida; Fabales; Fabaceae.